GCAGGAUGAACGCUGGCGGCGUGCCUAAUACAUGCAAGUCGAGCGAACAGACAAGGAGCUUGCUCCUUUGACGUUAGCGGCGGACGGGUGAGUAACACGUGGGUAACCUACCUAUAAGACUGGGAUAACUUCGGGAAACCGGAGCUAAUACCGGAUAAUAUUUCGAACCGCAUGGUUCGAUAGUGAAAGAUGGUUUUGCUAUCACUUAUAGAUGGACCCGCGCCGUAUUAGCUAGUUGGUAAGGUAACGGCUUACCAAGGCGACGAUACGUAGCCGACCUGAGAGGGUGAUCGGCCACACUGGAACUGAGACACGGUCCAGACUCCUACGGGAGGCAGCAGUAGGGAAUCUUCCGCAAUGGGCGAAAGCCUGACGGAGCAACGCCGCGUGAGUGAUGAAGGUCUUCGGAUCGUAAAACUCUGUUAUUAGGGAAGAACAUACGUGUAAGUAACUAUGCACGUCUUGACGGUACCUAAUCAGAAAGCCACGGCUAACUACGUGCCAGCAGCCGCGGUAAUACGUAGGUGGCAAGCGUUAUCCGGAAUUAUUGGGCGUAAAGCGCGCGUAGGCGGUUUUUUAAGUCUGAUGUGAAAGCCCACGGCUCAACCGUGGAGGGUCAUUGGAAACUGGAAAACUUGAGUGCAGAAGAGGAAAGUGGAAUUCCAUGUGUAGCGGUGAAAUGCGCAGAGAUAUGGAGGAACACCAGUGGCGAAGGGCGACUUUCUGGUCUGUAACUGACGCUGAUGUGCGAAAGCGUGGGGAUCAAACAGGAUUAGAUACCCUGGUAGUCCACGCCGUAAACGAUGAGUGCUAAGUGUUAGGGGGUUUCCGCCCCUUAGUGCUGCAGCUAACGCAUAAGCACUCCGCUGGGAGAACCACGUUGG
This 884-nucleotide ribosomal RNA is filed under the name Staphylococcus sp. MZ-10. RNAcentral describes it as "bacterial SSU rRNA". It matches the Rfam family "Bacterial small subunit ribosomal RNA", at positions 24 to 873 of the family's 1533-position model. The record is from RNAcentral. Lineage: Bacteria; Bacillati; Bacillota; Bacilli; Caryophanales; Staphylococcaceae.